GAUCAUGGCUCAGGAUGAACGCUGGCGGCGUGCUUAACACAUGCAAGUCGAACGAAGCACUUUAACCUGAUUCUUCGGAUGAAGGUUUUUGUGACUGAGUGGCGGACGGGUGAGUAACGCGUGGGUAACCUGCCUCAUGCAGGGGGAUAACAGUUAGAAAUGACUGCUAAUACCGCAUAAGACCACGGAGUCGCAUGGCUCAGUGGGAAAAACUCCGGUGGUAUGAGAUGGACCCGCGU
Molecule: ribosomal RNA, 239 nt
Filed under: uncultured bacterium
Lineage: Bacteria
Description: partial 16S ribosomal RNA
Rfam family: Bacterial small subunit ribosomal RNA
Source: RNAcentral